RNAcentral lists this ribosomal RNA (490 nucleotides) under uncultured bacterium. RNAcentral's name for it is "bacterial SSU rRNA". It matches the Rfam family "Bacterial small subunit ribosomal RNA", at positions 28 to 507 of the family's 1533-position model. The record is from RNAcentral.
GAUGAACGCUAGCUACAGGCUUAACACAUGCAAGUCGAAGGGCAGCAUGAACUUAGCUUGCUAAGUUUGAUGGCGACCGGCGCACGGGUGAGUAACACGUAUCCAACCUUCCGUUUACUCAGGGAUAGCCUUUCGAAAGAAAGAUUAAUACCUGAUAGUAUGGUGAGAUUGCAUGAUAACACCAUUAAAGAUUUAUUGGUAAACGAUGGGGAUGCGUUCCAUUAGGUAGUAGGCGGGGUAACGGCCCACCUAGCCUGCGAUGGAUAGGGGUUCUGAGAGGAAGGUCCCCCACAUUGGAACUGAGACACGGUCCAAACUCCUACGGGAGGCAGCAGUGAGGAAUAUUGGUCAAUGGGCGAGAGCCUGAACCAGCCAAGUAGCGUGAAGGAUGAAGGUCCUACGGAUUGUAAACUUCUUUUAUACGGGAAUAAAGUUUCCUACGUGUAGGAUUUUGUAUGUACCGUAUGAAUAAGCAUCGGCUAACUCCGUG